AAAAAGACAAACCAUGGGUUUACGUGUCCAACGUUUGACCGUCCGUCUUAUUUGAAAAAAUUAAAAAGACAAGUCACGCAUUAAGUAUUAAUCAUGUUUUAUUAUCUAACAAUAAUAAAAAUACUAAUUAUAAAAAAAUUUCAUAUAAGACGGACAGUCAAACGUUGGACACGGAAACCCAGGGUUUGCCUUUUU
Molecule: microRNA precursor, 195 nt
Filed under: Oryza nivara
Lineage: Eukaryota; Viridiplantae; Streptophyta; Magnoliopsida; Poales; Poaceae
Also listed under: 1 other name
Description: MIR812 microRNA precursor family
Rfam family: MIR812 microRNA precursor family
Source: Rfam by way of RNAcentral